Molecule: RNA transcript, 1389 nt
Organism: Tribolium castaneum (red flour beetle)
Lineage: Eukaryota; Metazoa; Arthropoda; Insecta; Coleoptera; Tenebrionidae
Exons: 3
Source: RefSeq, a predicted model, not a curated record
UAAUAAUACACACAGAUAAAAUAGUAAUUUUUGUAUUAAGUGCGCGAAAUGAGUGUUUUUUUAAUGGCGCCUGAGAAUGUUAUUUUAGUCGAGACCGCCAGGUCGAGACCUAAAAGACAUUCGAAGGCGCCAUUAAAACAUGAAUUUCGCCACGAAAUACAAACAACGUUUUUUCUACAGCCUCCAGAUGAAGAAAAAAGUAACAGAAAUUAGUUGGAACAAAAUGGUCUGAUAAAUCGAGUUGCUUGCAUGGUUACGAUGAUAAAUAAAAGUGAUAGUUGCGAAAAAUUUGUCACAAUAGGUAUUUUUGUUGAAGAAGUGUGAUGGAUUUUAGCAGCGAAAACGAAAUAGAUGCAAUUGCAAGCGCGGCAGUGUCGAAUCUUUUGCCUGCUAAAUCAAGACCGCAGUACGAAAAAACGUAUCUUCAGUUUCGGCAGUGGUGUUCUAUGAAAAAGAUUGAUCAAGUAACGGAAAAUGUUUUGUUGGCGUAUUUGGAAGAAAAGUCUACCACCUUAAAGCCACCAACACUCUGGGCCCUUUAUGCGAUGUUGAAAGCCACCUUAAACGUUAAAGAGAAUAUCGAUACACAAGCAAGAAGUCGCAAAUUUUAGACAAAGAAGACAUUAGCAAGUUUAUUAAUGAAGCAGAUGACAAGAUAUAUUUACUGAUGAAGACUGUGCUAAUUUUGGGUAUAUCGGGAGCCCUUCGACGUGAAGAAUUAGUUAAAAUGAAGCUAACUGACAUAGAAGAUAAACAGUCUGUCUUAAUUGUGAAGGUGCCUGAUACAAAAACCCACUGCGAACGAAUAUUUACUGUUUCAAAUUUAGAAAAUAUAGAAAUUGUCAGAAAAUAUAGAGCUUUGCGGCCUCCACGGGCGACUAGUGACCGUUUAUUUUUAAAGUAUACCAACGGAAAAUGUGUGAAUCAAAAUGUUGGAAUUAACAAAAUCGGAGAGAUACCAAGUUUGAUUGCAAAGUGGCUUAACAAAGACGAACCUAAAAAAUAUACUGGUCACUGCUUCAGAAGAAGCUCUGCCACUCUUUUGGCGAAUGCUGGAGGUGAUCUAAUUUCAAUUAAACGUCAUGGGGGCUGGAGAAGCAGCACAGUGGCAGAAAGUUACAUCGAGGACUCUUUGAAUAAUAAAAUUGAAAUUGCCAAUAAAAUUCAACCUUCUUCCUCCACAGAAGAAAACAAAAUCACUCAACCUUCUACAUCGGCUUCUUUUAAUGGCGAAAAUAACUUUCAUUUACAAGCGUCUUCACUCAGGCCUCUGGGGAUAAACGGGGGCACGUUUUCGUCAUGCACAUUUAAUUUUCAUAUGUCAAAGUAAAUAUCUAUUAUUAUUGUUUUGUAAUAUUGUUCUGUAUAAUUAUAAAACCUUUAAAACUA